AGUGAACGCUGGCGGUAGGCCUAACACAUGCAAGUCGAACGGCAGCACAGGAGAGCUUGCACUCUGGGUGGCGAGUGGCGGACGUGUGAGGUAUACAUCGGAUUCUACUCUGUCGUGGGGGAUAACGUAGGGAAACUUACGCUAAUAUCGCAUACGACCUACGGGUGGAAGCAGGGGAUGUUCGGACCUUGCGCGAUUGAAUGAGCCGAUGUCGGAUUAGCUGGUUGGAGGGGUAAAGGCCCACCAAGGCGACGAUCCGUAGCUGGUCUGAGAGGACGAUCAGCCACACUGGAACUGAGACACGGUCCAGACCCCUACGGGAGGCAGCAGUGGGGAAUAUUGGACAAUGGGGGCAAGCCUAAUCCAGCCAUACCGCGUGGGUGAAGAAGGCCUUCGGGUUGUAAAGCCCUUUUGUUGGGAAAGAAAUCCAGCUGGCUAAUACCCGGUUGGGAUGACGGUACCCAAAGAAUAAGCACCGGCUAACUUCGUGCCAGCAGCCGCCGUAA
RNAcentral lists this ribosomal RNA (506 nucleotides) under uncultured bacterium. Its description in RNAcentral is "partial 16S ribosomal RNA". It matches the Rfam family "Bacterial small subunit ribosomal RNA", at positions 29 to 523 of the family's 1533-position model. The record is from RNAcentral.